This 252-nucleotide ribosomal RNA is filed under the name uncultured bacterium. RNAcentral's name for it is "partial 16S ribosomal RNA". It matches the Rfam family "Bacterial small subunit ribosomal RNA", at positions 524 to 776 of the family's 1533-position model. The record is from RNAcentral.
UACGUAGGUCCCGAGCGAUGUCCGGAUUUAUUGGGCGUAAAGCGAGCGCAGGUGGUUUAUUAAGUCUGGUGUAAAAGGCAGUGGGUCAACCAUUGUAUGCAUUGGAAACUGGUAGACUUGAGUGCAGGAGAGGAGAGUGGAAUUCCAUGUGUAGCGGUGAAAUGCGUAGAUAUAUGGAGGAACACCGGUGGCGAAAGCGGCUCUCUGGCCUGUAACUGACACUGAGGCUCGAAAGCGUGGGGAGCAAACAGG